UGUCUCGGGACUGGAGACCCAUGUGGGCUAGAGCAGCAAAGAUCGUCCGGGAGUUGGCUAACAGGACUCCAGAAUUCAAAGGCAGGCUGCUACUGCCGGACGGCCCGAUGGGUCCGCAGAACGUACUCCCCAUCGGCUUUGGCUUUGCUCCUUUACGACGGAGGCGGCACGUGAAAGACCAUACCCGUCCUACCAACAAGCUUGCACGUAAAAAACAUUCCUGUCGGGUAGCUAAUAUAUAUGUUGACAAGAGGAUGAGCCUGCCUUCUUCCAGCCACUGCAGCCAGGAGUUGUCAGCUGGUAUACUUCAUUCCUAGGUCCUAGCUAGCUUCUCUCUAUGCAAGCAUUUUUCCAUCAAGCAAUAAUAUAGAACAAUCUUUUGUUAUCCCAUUUGCAGAACUCAUGGCUAAGCC
This is a long non-coding RNA of Triticum aestivum (bread wheat), 413 nucleotides long. RefSeq lists it as uncharacterized. The transcript is spliced from 3 exons. NCBI's taxonomy places the organism in Eukaryota, Viridiplantae, Streptophyta, Magnoliopsida, Poales, Poaceae. The record is from RefSeq and is a predicted model, not a curated record.